RNAcentral lists this ribosomal RNA (253 nucleotides) under uncultured bacterium. RNAcentral describes it as "partial 16S ribosomal RNA". It matches the Rfam family "Bacterial small subunit ribosomal RNA", at positions 524 to 776 of the family's 1533-position model. The record is from RNAcentral.
UACGUAGGUGGCAAGCGUUGUCCGGAUUUACUGGGCGUAAAGAGCGCGCAGGCGGCUUGGCAAGUCCGAUGUGAAAGCUUCCGGCUUAACUGGAAAAUUGCAUCGGAAACUGCUCGGCUUGAAGGUGGGAGAGGGUAGCGGAAUUCCCGGUGUAGUGGUGAAAUGCGUAGAUAUCGGGAGGAACACCAGUGGCGAAGGCGGCUACCUGGCCCACUCUUGACGCUGAGGCGCGAAAGCUAGGGGAGCAAACGGG